Molecule: long non-coding RNA, 1305 nt
Filed under: Sparus aurata (gilthead seabream)
Lineage: Eukaryota; Metazoa; Chordata; Actinopteri; Spariformes; Sparidae
Description: lncRNA (ENSSAUG00010004828.1)
Source: RNAcentral
AUGCAGGAGAAAACCACCAAAGCAGUGCACACACUCUUCCAGAAGAAGGAGCAAAAGAAGGGGUCUGAAGCCAAAGAGGCAGACACUAAUUCCAAAGUGGCCGCCAAUGCUAAAGCCGGUCUUGUUAAAACUCAGUCAAAACAAGAAGCUUCUGUUAAAAAAACAACUACUAAAGACUCUUCAAUUGCCACAAAGACCAGUCGCCCAACUGUUGCUCAGGUUCUAUUGAAAAACGAUGGAAGAAAGCAGGUAGAGGCACGCAAAGGAAAAACAACGGUCCUGACCUCUAAAAAGGGCGUCCAAAAAACUGACCUCAAGUUGGUGAAGGAAGGAACUGCCGGUAAAACAUAUCCUAAAUCUGACCAUCUUAAAGAUCAACCUCACACCAAUGUAACCCAGAGUAACGUAAAGAAUGGCACGGCUAAGAUUGUGACUGUUCUGACCAAGGUCAUGGGAACAAACAAAACCAGAGCAGGGAAGGAGAGCUUGGAGCAGUCCACCCUGGCUGAGAAGAAUGGUACUCAAUCAUCUGGACACAAGAGAAUCAAGAAGGUCAAAGCAGAGACUACAACCGUACAAUCUGUUGGCAACAGAGUCACUGAAGCUGGCAACACUGGAAGAGAGAAAGUUAUACAGAAGAGUCAGUAUUUAGUGAACACAACUUUUGCAGGAACUUCAGGUGAGGCUCGAGUUCUGCAGGACAAAACAACUACCCAUGGCUCUGUUAGUGCAAAGAAGAUGGGAGGAUCAGGAUUAGGUUCUGUAAAGGUUGUGAACAUCUCCUCCUACAGCUUCACUGUCACAUGGUCAUCACCACAAGGGAUGUUCAAGAACUUCACCGUGAUCAGAAGAGAGCUGAAGGCAGAGGGUGACGAUGACGACCAUGAGGAGUUUGAAGAGGAAGCCCUAGAAGGAGACAAGACUUCCACAGCAAAGAAUGUAACUGAAGUCCAGGUACAGAGUAAGAGCACCAACACAACUGCUGCCGCCGGUAAAGCUGGAUCUAAAAGCAAAGCUGAAACCAAGAGGAUCUCCAUGGUGGUCCCUGGCAGUGUACGUUCUGUGGAGUUCAGUAACCUUAAGGCAAACACUGGCUACGUCCUGCAUGUAUAUGGCUCUGCAGCUGACAGAAGAUCGAAGAUUCACAGAGUGACGGCAGUUACAGGUCCCGAGCCAGCCACGGAGAUGGUUUUCAGCAAUGUAACAGAGUCUUCUCUCACCGUUUCCUGGUCCAAACCAAAGACAACCUUCUCUGGCUUCAGGGUCAUGUACACCAACAUUGUCACAGGUCAGGGCAGGUCAUAG